UACGUAGGUGACAAGCGUUGUCCGGAUUUACUGGGCGUAAAGAGCGCGCAGGCGGUCGUACAAGUCGCGUGUGAAAGCCCCCGGCUCAACUGGGGAGGGUCACGCGAUACUGUUCGACUCGAAGGCAGGAGAGGGAAGCAGAAUUCCCGGUGUAGUGGUGAAAUGCGUAGAUAUCGGGAGGAAUACCAGUGGCGAAGGCGGCUUCCUGGCCUGUUCUUGACGCUGAGGCGCGAAAGCUAGGGUAGCAAACGGG
Molecule: ribosomal RNA, 253 nt
Filed under: uncultured bacterium
Lineage: Bacteria
Description: partial 16S ribosomal RNA
Rfam family: Bacterial small subunit ribosomal RNA
Source: RNAcentral